RNAcentral lists this ribosomal RNA (253 nucleotides) under uncultured bacterium. RNAcentral describes it as "partial 16S ribosomal RNA". It matches the Rfam family "Bacterial small subunit ribosomal RNA", at positions 524 to 776 of the family's 1533-position model. The record is from RNAcentral.
UACGAAGGGUGCUAGCGUUGUUCGGAAUCACUGGGCGUAAAGGGCGCGUAGGCGGCUUUCCAAGUCAGAGGUGAAAUCCUGAGGCUCAACCUCAGAAUUGCCUUUGAAACUGGAGAGCUUGAGUAUUGGAGGGGAUAGCGGAAUUCCUAAUGUAGAGGUGAAAUUCGUAGAUAUUAGGAGGAACACCGGUGGCGAAGGCGGCUAUCUGGACAAUAACUGACGCUGAGGCGCGAAAGCGUGGGGAUCAAACAGG